CCUACGGGAGGCAGCAGUGAGGAAUAUUGGUCAAUGGGCGGAAGCCUGAACCAGCCAAGUCGCGUGAGGGAAUAAGGCCCUACGGGUCGUAAACCUCUUUUGCCGGGGAGCAAGGUCGGGGACGUGUCCCGGCCCGGAGAGUACCCGGAGAAAAAGCAUCGGCUAACUCCGUGCCAGCAGCCGCGGUAAUACGGAGGAUGCGAGCGUUAUCCGGAUUUAUUGGGUUAAAAGGGUGCGUAGGCGGGCGUUUAAGCCAGCGGGAAAAAUUCGGGGCUCAACCCCGGCCGGCCGUUGAAACUGGGGGCCUUGAGUGGGCGAGAGGAAGGCGGAAUGCGUGGUGUAGCGGUGAAAUGCAUAGAUAUCACGCAGAACCCCGAUUGCGAAGGCAGCCUUCCGGAGCCCGACUGACGCUGAGGCACGAAAGUGCGGGGAUCGAACAGGAUUAGAUACCCGAGUAGUC
Molecule: ribosomal RNA, 460 nt
Filed under: uncultured bacterium
Lineage: Bacteria
Description: partial 16S ribosomal RNA
Rfam family: Bacterial small subunit ribosomal RNA
Source: RNAcentral